UUCAAUGUACCUUUGCACAUUAUUUCUGUCUAAAUAAUUAUUCAAUACUUUCUCGAAUGCCUCAACUGAACCGGUCUCCAUCACUCAUCUUGGCAGUGCAUUCUAGACCCUAAUUACGAGUGUUUAGAAGCAGCCAAGUUGCCAAUUCAACAUUGGCUGGAUAUGAAUUCUGCUGGGAUGACAUCUGUGGAGAAGAAAUUCAGAGCUGUGUCAAUAUUCCAUUUUUAAAACACCUGUUUGAGAUGUAGCCUGAGGUGAAACCUUUUCGAAGACCACUGAACAGAAGAGAAUUGGAGACAGUCCCAAGGAUCCCUGCUGCUGGGCAUGUGCAGAAGCCAGAGACAAAAGCUGUGGAGGCAGACAGAAGAUGAAGCCAUCAUGAAUGGAGUCUGCCGCAUUCGUCAAUGCCUCAACAGACUGUGUAUAGAAUUGGAACCAACUCCUUUGUAAUCCAGUAAACUCUGAGCAUCCUUUUCAUCGUCUCAAUGCUGCUGCAUUAGAAAUGCUUAGAUGUUUGUAUCUAUUAUUCACAGUUUCUGGAUGG
Long non-coding RNA from Stegostoma tigrinum, 544 nucleotides. RefSeq lists it as uncharacterized. The record is from RefSeq and is a predicted model, not a curated record. The transcript has 3 exons. NCBI's taxonomy places the organism in Eukaryota, Metazoa, Chordata, Chondrichthyes, Orectolobiformes, Stegostomatidae.